UACGGAGGGUGCAAGCGUUGUCCGGACUUAUUGGGUGUAAAGGGUGCGCAGGCGGGUUAUUAAGUCUGGGGUGAAAGGCCGCCGCUCAACGGUGGGAAUGCCUUGGAUACUGGUAAUCUGGAGUGUAGGAGAGGUCGACGGAAUUGGCGGUGUAGCGGUGAAAUGCAUAGAUAUCGCCAAGAACACCGGUGGUGAAGACGGUCGGCUGGCCUAUAACUGACGCUCAGGCACGAAAGUGUGGGGAUCAAACAGG
This 253-nucleotide ribosomal RNA is filed under the name uncultured bacterium. RNAcentral's name for it is "partial 16S ribosomal RNA". It matches the Rfam family "Bacterial small subunit ribosomal RNA", at positions 524 to 776 of the family's 1533-position model. The record is from RNAcentral.